GGACGACGUCAAGUCAUCAUGGCCCUUACGUGUAGGGCUACACACGUGCUACAAUGGCGCAUACAGAGUGCUGCGAACUCGCGAGAGUAAGCGAAUCACUUAAAGUGCGUCGUAGUCCGGAUUGGAGUCUGCAACUCGACUCCAUGAAGUCGGAAUCGCUAGUAAUCGCGUAUCAGAAUGACGCGGUGAAUACGUUCCCGGGCCUUGUACACACCGCCCGUCACACCAUGGGAGUGGGUUGCUCCAGAAGUAGAUAGUCUAACCCUCGGGAGGACGUUUACCACGGAGUGAUUCAUGACUGGGGUGAAGUCGUAACAAGGUAGCCCUAGGGGAACCUGGGGCUGGAUCACCUCCUUAUACGA
This 362-nucleotide ribosomal RNA is filed under the name Pseudoalteromonas agarivorans. RNAcentral's name for it is "bacterial SSU rRNA". It matches the Rfam family "Bacterial small subunit ribosomal RNA", at positions 1177 to 1533 of the family's 1533-position model. The record is from RNAcentral. Lineage: Bacteria; Pseudomonadati; Pseudomonadota; Gammaproteobacteria; Alteromonadales; Pseudoalteromonadaceae.